GCGAGCGGCCGCCUCCUCUCAAACAAUUGCUCUCAUGCAACACGACUCAGCUACUAAAUGCUCUGAAAGCCCAUAAAGGGACUUUAGCCAAGUGUCCACAGCAGUAUGGCAGAGCAAAAUCACGGGUCCUUCCUCUUGUGUCACCAGUCUGACGUCAUCCUUGAUUCCUGAUUGUUUCCACCUGUUCCACCAUCACUCACACGUCCUAUUUAAGCUCACUUCUCCGUUUGUCCUUUGCCAGAUCGUCUCGUCUAUCGUGCCUUCUAGCGUCCAUGUCCAUGUCCUUGAUUCCCUCCUUGCCUUGCUCCUGUUUUUCGUGUUCAUAUUUUUUGAUUAUAGCAGUUAUUUUUUGCUGAAAUUUUGAGUUAACUUUUUCCUCCUUCGAGCGUCCUUAGUUUUCCUUCGUCGACCUAAUUGGUGAGUUUUUUUUUAAUAUUCCAAAUUUCGUUUGAUUUCCUCAUU
This is a long non-coding RNA of Nerophis ophidion (straightnose pipefish), 462 nucleotides long. RefSeq lists it as uncharacterized. The transcript has 3 exons. The record is from RefSeq and is a predicted model, not a curated record. NCBI's taxonomy places the organism in Eukaryota, Metazoa, Chordata, Actinopteri, Syngnathiformes, Syngnathidae.